GGGCGAAUAGCUCAGUUGGUCAGAGCACUCGGUUUACACCCGAGCGGCCGGGGGUUCGAGUCCCUCUUCGCCCA
RNAcentral lists this transfer RNA (74 nucleotides) under Aeromicrobium sp. Its description in RNAcentral is "tRNA-Val". It matches the Rfam family "tRNA". Rfam says of the family: Transfer RNA (tRNA) molecules are approximately 80 nucleotides in length. Their secondary structure includes four short double-helical elements and three loops (D, anti-codon, and T loops). Lineage: Bacteria; Bacillati; Actinomycetota; Actinomycetes; Propionibacteriales; Nocardioidaceae. RNAcentral also lists the same sequence under 2 other names. The record is from RNAcentral.